GGAUCGGUAGCUCAGUAGGUAGAGCAGGGGAUUCUUACUCCCAAGGUGGACGGUUCAAGCCCGUCUCGAUCCUCCA
RNAcentral lists this transfer RNA (76 nucleotides) under Sphingobium phage Lacusarx. Its description in RNAcentral is "tRNA-Lys". It matches the Rfam family "tRNA". Rfam says of the family: Transfer RNA (tRNA) molecules are approximately 80 nucleotides in length. Lineage: Duplodnaviria; Heunggongvirae; Uroviricota; Caudoviricetes. The record is from RNAcentral.